RNAcentral lists this long non-coding RNA (438 nucleotides) under Heterocephalus glaber (naked mole-rat). RNAcentral's name for it is "lncRNA (ENSHGLG00100048416.1)". The record is from RNAcentral. Lineage: Eukaryota; Metazoa; Chordata; Mammalia; Rodentia; Bathyergidae.
GGGGUUCCUCAGCUUCCCGGUCGCUGGGUGGGUGCUAAUCUUGCCUUCCAUCCUGGUGUUUGGGCCAGGCUUCGCACACUGGGUCCCCAAUCCAUUGCUGAACUGUGCAUUCUCAGCCCAUUUCACAGAUGAGGAAACUGACUCCCAAAUCCGGAUUCAUGCAGUCAUAUCCUGCAGAAACGACAGAUUAUGCAGAUGCCAGAAGGCCAGGAGCCUGGUUUCUUUUCCACAAGAGAAAGAUAAGCUGAAGAUGGCUGGAAAUGAGAAACCAAGUGUAAAGAUCUGCAUUGUCUUUUUGGUCCCCUUCCCCUCUGUUUAAAAGACCCUUCCCACCUGUGAACAGUAGGAUGGUGAUCUGAGGCAAAUAGGCCCCUCUAUCUCCUCAGAGUUAGCUUUGAGUAAAUCCUUAUUUCCUUCCAAAGGUAGAAUCUGCCCCCC